This 423-nucleotide ribosomal RNA is filed under the name Bacillus cereus. RNAcentral describes it as "bacterial SSU rRNA". It matches the Rfam family "Bacterial small subunit ribosomal RNA", at positions 970 to 1394 of the family's 1533-position model. Lineage: Bacteria; Bacillati; Bacillota; Bacilli; Caryophanales; Bacillaceae. The record is from RNAcentral.
CUUACCAGGUCUUGACAUCCUCUGAAAACCCUAGAGAUAGGGGUUCUCCUUCGGGAGCAGAGUGACAGGUGGUGCAUGGUUGUCGUCAGCUCGUGUCGUGAGAUGUUGGGUUAAGUCCCGCAACGAGCGCAACCCUUGAUCUUAGUUGCCAUCAUUAAGUUGGGCACUCUAAGGUGACUGCCGGUGACAAACCGGAGGAAGGUGGGGAUGACGUCAAAUCAUCAUGCCCCUUAUGACCUGGGCUACACACGUGCUACAAUGGACGGUACAAAGAGCUGCAAGACCGCGAGGUGGAGCUAAUCUCAUAAAACCGUUCUCAGUUCGGAUUGUAGGCUGCAAUUCGCCUACAUGAAGCUGGAAUCGCUAGUAAUCGCGGAUCAGCAUGCCGCGGUGAAUACGUUCCCGGGCCUUGUACACACCGCC